Molecule: ribosomal RNA, 497 nt
Filed under: uncultured bacterium
Lineage: Bacteria
Description: partial 16S ribosomal RNA
Rfam family: Bacterial small subunit ribosomal RNA
Source: RNAcentral
GAUGAACGCUGGCGGCGUGCCUAAUACAUGCAAGUCGAGCGAACAGACGAGGAGCUUGCUCCUCUGACGUUAGCGGCGGACGGGUGAGUAACACGUGGAUAACCUACCUAUAAGACUGGGAUAACUUCGGGAAACCGGAGCUAAUACCGGAUAAUAUAUUGAACCGCAUGGUUCAAUAGUGAAAGACGGUUUUGCUGUCACUUAUAGAUGGAUCCGCGCCGCAUUAGCUAGUUGGUAAGGUAACGGCUUACCAAGGCAACGAUGCGUAGCCGACCUGAGAGGCGGAUCGGCCACACUGGAACUGAGACACGGUCCAGACUCCUACGGGAGGCAGCAGUAGGGAAUCUUCCGCAGUAGGCGAGAGCCUGACGGAGCAACGCCGCGUGAGUGAUGAAGGUCUUCGGAUCGUAAAACUCUGUUAUUAGGGAAGAACAAAUGUGUAAGUAGCUAUGCACGUCUUGACGGUACCUAAUCAGAAAGCCACGGCUAACUACGUG